CGACUUUCACCGAUGUAGGAUUCUGACGACUUCUACGUUAUUUGAUGGUUAACAAGCGGACAACCAUGAAGUUACCUUUAUUACUUCUUUGCUUGAUCUCUUGUGUUCAGUCCAAAAUCACGAAACGUGUCCCCGUAGCAAAAGCCAAGGUACAAGUACUUGGCGGGGACAACGACCUGUUCGGUUACAACAUUCUGACAGGAUGCCCUCUGACAUCAGGACGUGAUCCGGGCUUUACUCGCCCCAUCUUUUCCACUACAGGUCACGUGACCCAAGACUUUCGUUAUAGCAUACCCAGUGAGUUGAU
Molecule: long non-coding RNA, 307 nt
Organism: Pomacea canaliculata
Lineage: Eukaryota; Metazoa; Mollusca; Gastropoda; Architaenioglossa; Ampullariidae
Exons: 3
Source: RefSeq, a predicted model, not a curated record